AAACAUUGAUUGGAGCCUACAGCCCCAAUCCGCCCGGGAAUUACGAACAUAAGUUUAAAACCCAAAGGACUUGGCGGCGCUUUAUAUCCCCCUAGAGGAGCCUGUCCUAGAACCGAUAAUCCCCGUUCAACCUCACCCUCUCUGGCCCUUUCCCGCCUAUAUACCGCCGUCGCCAGCUCACCCUGUGAAGGUCCAAAAGUGAGCACAAUUGGUACAGCCCAGCACGUCAGGUCGAGGUGUAGCGAAUGAGAGGGGAAGAGAUGGGCUACAUUCGCUAACUGCAGCGAAUUACGGAUGGUACAUUGAAACAUGUAACUGAAGGUGGAUUUAGUAGUAAGUUAGGAGUAGAGUGCCCU
RNAcentral lists this ribosomal RNA (356 nucleotides) under Sphyraena sphyraena (European barracuda). RNAcentral's name for it is "partial 12S ribosomal RNA". It matches the Rfam family "Bacterial small subunit ribosomal RNA", at positions 801 to 1360 of the family's 1533-position model. Lineage: Eukaryota; Metazoa; Chordata; Actinopteri; Sphyraenidae. The record is from RNAcentral.